This is a long non-coding RNA of Cyanistes caeruleus (blue tit), 830 nucleotides long. The record is from Ensembl. Lineage: Eukaryota; Metazoa; Chordata; Aves; Passeriformes; Paridae.
GAAACAUCCUGGCAACCGGAGAACACGGAUUUAAGGCAACUCUUUAAAGCAUUAUUGCCUGUCUGAACAGCCAGCUCCUCACUACACAGGUGACAUGAGGAUCUUCCAGCCAACUUCUAUCCCUGUCCUGGAGUGCAUGGCAGAGCUGCACAAGAUAGAGCCAAGCUGAGUUCAAUCUUUGGAGACUUAAAGUGCUCACUCAAAUGCACUGAACAAGAGGAAUGCUUCAGCUCCAAUCAGCUCCCAUCUUCUUUGGAAAUGCUGGCCUUGAGUUCUUACUUCUGGGAUGAUUUGGAGGCUCUUGAUGUCCUUGGUGGUGGGAUAAAUCUGGAGAAGCUCCACUGGAUGCAGAGCUUGGUGCUGGCUCUGAGCUCUGGUCGUGCACACCCAUGGUGUGAGCAAGGCUGGUGGUGGCACACAGGGGCACAGCAGGGUUUUCUGCACAGGAUUUAUUUUCCAGCUCUCUCUGAGCAGCUCUGCAAGGCUGGGAAAACACGCCCAAACCUGGGAAAACACACCCAAAUCUGGGAAAAAACACAUCCAGACCUAGGAAAGGGAAAUGUUUCACUCUGCUGGUGCACAGAGGGAUCCCCAGCAAGGGACAAAAACAAUUUGAUUCCAGCUUCCCAUUGAGACAUACCCUGCAUUUCUUCUAAGAGGCAAAAAUACGAUGUGGGAAAAAAUAACUUUCACUUGAUGCACUAAAAUAUUUUUAACUAUCCAAAUGAUGGAAGCUGCAUCCACGAGAAAACCAGAGAGGACUCCUAAAACACUAUGAAACCAACAGAAAAAAAAAUAAAAAAUAAAAAUCUCCAUUCCUGGAGGACGCC